RNAcentral lists this ribosomal RNA (479 nucleotides) under Rhizobium sp. CL4.23. Its description in RNAcentral is "bacterial SSU rRNA". It matches the Rfam family "Bacterial small subunit ribosomal RNA", at positions 17 to 502 of the family's 1533-position model. The record is from RNAcentral. Lineage: Bacteria; Pseudomonadati; Pseudomonadota; Alphaproteobacteria; Hyphomicrobiales; Rhizobiaceae.
CCCUGGCUCAGAACGAACGCUGGCGGCAGGCUUAACACAUGCAAGUCGAGCGCCUCGCAAGAGGAGCGGCAGACGGGUGAGUAACGCGUGGGAAUCUACCCAUCUCUACGGAAUAACUCAGGGAAACUUGUGCUAAUACCGUAUACGCCCCCCUUUAAAAUUCCAGGAAUCAUAAAAUGCCCUGGCAUUUUAUGGGGGGGAAAGAUUUAUCGGAGAUGGAUGAGCCCGCGUUGGAUUAGCUAGUUGGUGGGGUAAAGGCCUACCAAGGCGACGAUCCAUAGCUGGUCUGAGAGGAUGAUCAGCCACAUUGGGACUGAGACACGGCCCAAACUCCUACGGGAGGCAGCAGUGGGGAAUAUUGGACAAUGGGCGCAAGCCUGAUCCAGCCAUGCCGCGUGAGUGAUGAAGGCCUUAGGGUUGUAAAGCUCUUUCACCGGAGAAGAUAAUGACGGUAUCCGGAGAAGAAGCCCCGGCUAACU